ACCCGCUGAACUUAAGCAUAUCAAUAAGCGGAGGAAAAGAAACCAACAGGGAUUGCCUCAGUAACGGCGAGUGAAGCGGCAAUAGCUCAAAUUUGAAAGCUGGCGUCUUCGGCGUCCGCGUUGUAAUUUGUAGAGGAUGCUUCGGCGAAGACUCCUGCCUAAGUCCCCUGGAACGGGGCGUCACAGAGGGUGAGAAUCCCGUACGUGGUUGGCGGUCCGAGCCAUGUGAAGCUCCUUCGACGAGUCGAGUUGUUUGGGAAUGCAGCUCUAAAUGGGAGGUAAAUUUCUUCUAAAGCUAAAUACCGGCCAGAGACCGAUAGCGCACAAGUAGAGUGAUCGAAAGAUGAAAAGCACUUUGGAAAGAGAGUUAAAAAGUACGUGAAAUUGUUGAAAGGGAAGCGCUUGCAACCAGACUCGCCCGCAGUUGCUCAGCCGGCCUCUUGGCCGGCGUACUCUUCUGCGGUCGGGCCAGCAUCAGUUCGGGCGGCCGGAUAAAGGCUUCGGGAAUGUAGCACCCUCCGGGGUGUGUUAUAGCCCGUCGCGGAAUGCGGCCAGCCUGGACUGAGGAUCUCGCUUCGGCAAGGAUGCUGGCGUAAUGGUCGCAAGCGGCCCGUCUUGAAACACGGACCAAGGAGUCUAACAUCUAUGCGAGUGUUUGGGUGUCAAACCCAUGCGCGCAAUGAAAGUGAACGGAGGUGGGAACCCUUCGCGGGGCGCACCAUCGACCGAUCCUGAUGUCUUCGGAUGGAUUUGAGUAAGAGCAUAGCUGUUGGGACCCGAAAGAUGGUGAACUAUGCCUGAAUAGGGUGAAGCCAGAGGAAACUCUGGUGGAGGCUCGCAGCGGUUCUGACGUGCAAAUCGAUCGUCAAAUUUGGGUAUAGGGGCGAAAGACUAAUCGAACCAUCUAGUAGCUGGUUCCUGCCGAAGUUUCCCUCAGGA
Molecule: ribosomal RNA, 939 nt
Filed under: Phyllosticta sp.
Lineage: Eukaryota; Fungi; Ascomycota; Dothideomycetes; Botryosphaeriales; Phyllostictaceae
Description: partial large subunit ribosomal RNA
Rfam family: Eukaryotic large subunit ribosomal RNA
Source: RNAcentral